RNAcentral lists this long non-coding RNA (224 nucleotides) under Mytilus galloprovincialis (Mediterranean mussel). Lineage: Eukaryota; Metazoa; Mollusca; Bivalvia; Mytilida; Mytilidae. The record is from RNAcentral.
CGUCUGUCCCGCUCCAGGUUCAAGUUUUUGGUCAAGGUAGUUUUUGAUGAAGUUGAAGUCCAAUCGACUUCAAACUUUGUACACAUGUUCCCUAUGAUAUGAUCUUUGUCAUUUUUAUGCCAAAUAAGAGUUUUUACGCCAAUUUCACGGUCCACUGAACAUGGAAAAUGAUAGUGCGAGUGGGGCAUUCGUGUACUGAGGACACAUUCUUGUUUAUUCAUUUU